RNAcentral lists this ribosomal RNA (504 nucleotides) under uncultured bacterium. Its description in RNAcentral is "partial 16S ribosomal RNA". It matches the Rfam family "Bacterial small subunit ribosomal RNA", at positions 28 to 507 of the family's 1533-position model. The record is from RNAcentral.
GACGAACGCUGGCGGCGUGCCUAAUACAUGCAAGUAGAACGCACAGUUUAUACCGUAGCUUGCUACACCAUAGACUGUGAGUUGCGAACGGGUCAGUAACGCGUAGGUAACCUGCCUGAUAUCGGUGGGUAACUAUGGGAAACGUUAGCUAAUACCUCAUAAUAUUAAUUAUUGCAUGAUAAAUAAUGGAAAUGUUCAAUUGUACCACUACCUGAUCGACCUGCGUGGUAUUAGCUAGUAGGGAAGGUAACGGCUCACCAAGGCAACGAUACAUAGCCGACCGGGGAGGUGGUCGGCCAACAUGGGAAUGGGAAACGGGCCAGGAUUCUUAAGGGAGGAGCAAUAGGGAAAUUUUGGCAAUGGGGGAAAGUCUGGACGGAGCAACGCGCGUGAGUGGAGAAAGGUUUCCGGUCGUAAAGAUUUGUUGAUUGGGGAGAAACAGUUUGGGAAUGGAAAGUUCACGCUGUGACGGUACCUAAUCAGAAAGCCACGGCUAACUACGUG